This 763-nucleotide ribosomal RNA is filed under the name uncultured Streptococcus sp. RNAcentral's name for it is "bacterial SSU rRNA". It matches the Rfam family "Bacterial small subunit ribosomal RNA", at positions 28 to 776 of the family's 1533-position model. The record is from RNAcentral. Lineage: Bacteria; Bacillati; Bacillota; Bacilli; Lactobacillales; Streptococcaceae.
GACGAACGCUGGCGGCGUGCCUAAUACAUGCAAGUAGAACGCUGAAGGAGGAGCUUGCUUCUCCGGAUGAGUUGCGAACGGGUGAGUAACGCGUAGGUAACCUGCCUGGUAGCGGGGGAUAACUAUUGGAAACGAUAGCUAAUACCGCAUAACAGUAGAUAUUGCAUGAUAUCUGCUUGAAAGGUGCAAUUGCAUCACUACCAGAUGGACCUGCGUUGUAUUAGCUAGUUGGUGAGGUAACGGCUCACCAAGGCGACGAUACAUAGCCGACCUGAGAGGGUGAUCGGCCACACUGGGACUGAGACACGGCCCAGACUCCUACGGGAGGCAGCAGUAGGGAAUCUUCGGCAAUGGACGGAAGUCUGACCGAGCAACGCCGCGUGAGUGAAGAAGGUUUUCGGAUCGUAAAGCUCUGUUGUAAGAGAAGAACGAGUGUGAGAGUGGAAAGUUCACACUGUGACGGUAUCUUACCAGAAAGGGACAGCUAACUACGUGCCAGCAGCCGCGGUAAUACGUAGGUCCCGAGCGUUGUCCGGAUUUAUUGGGCGUAAAGCGAGCGCAGGCGGUUAGAUAAGUCUGAAGUUAAAGGCUGUGGCUUAACCAUAGUACGCUUUGGAAACUGUUUAACUUGAGUGCAAGAGGGGAGAGUGGAAUUCCAUGUGUAGCGGUGAAAUGCGUAGAUAUAUGGAGGAACACCGGUGGCGAAAGCGGCUCUCUGGCUUGUAACUGACGCUGAGGCUCGAAAGCGUGGGGAGCAAACAGG